RNAcentral lists this ribosomal RNA (346 nucleotides) under uncultured bacterium. Its description in RNAcentral is "bacterial SSU rRNA". It matches the Rfam family "Bacterial small subunit ribosomal RNA", at positions 159 to 507 of the family's 1533-position model. The record is from RNAcentral.
CGGGCUAACAUCAGAUGAUAUAUAAUCACGACAUCGUGGAAAUAUCAAAUCUUCGGAGCCUUGGGAUGAGCCUGCGUCUGAUUAGGUAGUUGGCGGAGUAAUAGCCCACCAAGCCUACGAUCAGUAGCUGGUCUGAGAGGAUGAUCAGCCACACUGGAACUGAGACACGGUCCAGACUCCUACGGGAGGCAGCAGUAAGGAAUAUUGCUCAAUGGGGGGAAACCCUGAAGCAGCAACGCCGCGUGAAGGAUGAAAUACUUUUGUAUGUAAACUUCUGUAAGAUGGGAAAAUAUUCUCCUCGGGAGAAUUGAUUGUACCAUCAGAGUAAGCCCCGGCUAACUACGUG